RNAcentral lists this small RNA (815 nucleotides) under Pongo abelii (Sumatran orangutan). Its description in RNAcentral is "retained intron". The record is from RNAcentral. Lineage: Eukaryota; Metazoa; Chordata; Mammalia; Primates; Hominidae.
AGAACCCCUCACACCACCAGAAGAUUAUCAAGGUCCUCCAAGGCUGUGCAGACUGCCUUCCCCAGGAGAUCACCGAGCUCAAGACACAGAUGUGGCAGCUCCUCAAGGGCCACGACCACCUGCAGGAUGAGUUUUCUAUCUUCUUUGACCACUUGCGCCCAGCAGCUAGCCGGAUGGGUGACUUUGAAGAGAUCAAUUGGACUGAGGAAAAGGAGUAUGAGUUUGAUGGCUUCGAAGAAGUGGCCCUGCCUGAUGUGGAAGAAGAGGAGGAGCCUCCCAAGAUACCCACAGCCUCAAAGAACAAGAGGAAAAAAGAGAUUGGGGUCCAAAAUCAUGAUAAGGAGACUGAGUGGCCAGAUGGGGCCAAGGACUGUGCCUGCUCUUGCCAUGAAGGAGGUCCAGAUUCCAAGCUGAAGAAGAGCAAAAGGCGGAGCUGUAGCCGCUGUAGCAGCAAGGUGAGGAAAGUUUCAAGGGCACUGGUCCCGAGGGUGUCAGAGCUGCUGGGGGAUUGUUUGCUACCAAGAAUUGUACCUUAUUGAAUUCCUAAAAAGGCACAUAUAUAAAUAACAUUCAGUACACACAUAUGUGUACAUAUGCAAAAUAAAUGGAAUCUGCUAGAAAUAUGUGAUUUUGUUUUUUAAAGAGAAUUCUGUGAGUAAAGCUUUUGGAAUUGGAAAAACAAAAUACCAGUUAAAAUAUUUCCCUCAGAUAUUAGAAAAUGAAAUAAACCUCUGUCAUGAAAAUAGUCUCUACAAGUAAUCCUGGUUCUCUAGAAUGGAGUUGGUUGGCAGGAAAAACACAGUUCUUGGUGAGAG